RNAcentral lists this ribosomal RNA (1894 nucleotides) under human gut metagenome. RNAcentral describes it as "bacterial LSU rRNA". It matches the Rfam family "Bacterial large subunit ribosomal RNA", at positions 3 to 1990 of the family's 2925-position model. The record is from RNAcentral.
UCAAGCGAACAAGGGCGCAGGGCGAAUGCCUUGGCACUGGGAGCCGAUGAAAGACGUGAUAAGCUGCGAUAAGCUUCGGGGAGCUGCAAAUAAGCAUUGAUCCGGAGAUUUCUGAAUGAGGAAACUCACCUGGGUUCAUACUCAGGUACGUUGUACUGAAAUUCAAAAUAGGUACAUCGGGGGAACCGCCUGAACUGAAACAUCUAAGUAGGGCGAGGAAGAGACAUCAAACGAGAUUCCGUAAGUAGUGGCGAGCGAACGCGGAAGAGGGCAAACCGAAGGUAGAAAUACCUUCGGGGUACGGACUGCUUUUAGGACUCGAUCUGUUAACCGAACGGCAUGGGAAGGCCGGUCAGAGAGUGUGAGAACCACGUAGGUGAAAACGGAGAGAGCUGCGCAGAUUCCAGAGUACGGCCAGACACGUGAAACCUGGUCGGAAGAUGGGGGGACCACCCUCCAACCCUAAAUACUACCCAGUGACCGAUAGCGUAUAGUACUGUGAAGGAAAGGUGAAAAGCACCCCGGGAGGGGAGUGAAAAAGAACCUGAAACCCUGUGCCUACAAGCACCUAGAGCACGUCAAUGUGUGAUAGGGUACUUUUUGUAGAACGGUCCGGCGAGCGAUUGUAUGCAGCAAGGUUAAGGACUUAAGGUCUGGAGCCGAAGCGAAAGCGAGUUUGAAAAGGGCGUUAAGUUGCAUAUAAUGGGCCCGAAACCGGGUGACCUACCCAUGGUCAGGUUGAAGUGGAAGUAAAAUUCCAUGGAGGACCGAACCGACCUCCGUUGAAAAGGCGGCGGAUGAACUGUGGGUAGCGGAGAAAUUCCAAUCGAACCCGGAGAUAGCUGGUUCUCCCCGAAAUAGUUUUAGGACUAGCCUCAAGUUAGAUACCUGGAGGUAAAGCACUGAAUAGCCUAGCGGCCGAGAGGUUAGCGAAGCUUAUCAAACUCAGAAUGCCAGAGUAUUGAUGCUUGGGAGUCAGACAGUGUCAGAUAAAUGUCAUUGUCAAAAGGGAAACAGCCCAGAUCUACAGCUAAGGUCCCAAAGUCAGGUUAAGUGGAAAACGAUGUGAAGAUACGCAGACAACCAGGAUGUUGGCUCAGAAGCAGCCACUCAUUCAAAGAGUGCGUAAUAGCUCACUGGUCGAGCGUCUUUGCGCGGAGAAUUUAACGGGGCUAAACCUGACACCGAAGCUUAGGCAAUCCAGCAAUGGAUUGGGUAGGGGAGCGUUGUAUACGCGGAGAAACAGUAGCGUAAGCGGCUGUGGAGUGUAUAGAAGUGAGAAUGCCGGAAUGAGUAGCGCGAAUGCAGUGAGAAUCUGCAUGGCCGAAAGCCUCAGGUUUUUGGAGGAAGGUUCGUCCGCUCCAAGUUAGUCGGGAGCUAAGGUGAGGCCGGAAGGCGUAGCCGAUGCACAGACGGUAGAGAUUCCGUCACCACCAAAAGAGUUAAGCACAGGGACACAUUUGAAGUCUCAGAGCCGGGUGUUGGUUCCGGUAGAGAUCGAGGGAAGUUAGUACCGAAGUCUGGGAUGGAGGAUGGCGAGAAAAGCUGUGUGUAUUUCUGAGGUGCCCGUACCGCAAACCGACACAGGUAGGUAGGAAGAAGAUUCUAAGGCCAACGGGAGAAGGGUUGUUAAGGAACUCGGCAAAUUGACCCCGUAACUUCGGGAGAAGGGGUGCUCCAGAGAUGGAGCCGCAGAGAAUCGGCCCAAGCAACUGUUUACCAAAAACACAGGUUUGUGCUAAAUCGAAAGAUGACGUAUACGAGCUGACGCCUGCCCGGUGCUGGAAGGUUAAGAGGAGAUGUGCAAGCAUUGAAUCGAAGCCCCAGUGAACGGCGGCCGUAACUAUAACGGUCCUAAGGUAGCGAAAUUCCUUGUCAGGUAAGUUCUGACCCG